Molecule: long non-coding RNA, 657 nt
Filed under: Monodelphis domestica (gray short-tailed opossum)
Lineage: Eukaryota; Metazoa; Chordata; Mammalia; Didelphimorphia; Didelphidae
Description: lncRNA (ENSMODG00000030689.2)
Source: RNAcentral
GGAGGAGUUUUGCUCUAAGAGAUUCUCCCUGGACAGUCAGGAUUUUCGUGGAGAAAAUCUUUGGCAUCCAGGUAGAGGAUUUACUUGGAGUAACCUGAUUUCCCUGAGUCCAGUCAUCAUCUGGCAGUGGUCCAUCUACCAGGAUUCCUAUUGGCUAAGAAUGUCAAUCCUAUUGCAAAAAUUGGAAACUAUUUGAGAAGAGAUGACUGAGAAGGGUGGGAACAAAGCUGACAACUCAUAGCAGAGAAAGAAAAUAUUUGGUUGUCUUGGAAGAGAAGAAGUAUGUGUAAUAAAUCACCACAUAGAACAGGGAAAAAUGCUGCUCUGCGUCUGCGUCUGCGCUGUCUUGCUGGGGAAAGAGCUGUCCAGGAUUUCAGCAGCCUAGCAGACAUUCAGAGUCGGAGCUGUCCAGACUUUCCCGUUUGGCGUUUAGGAUCUUCGAACUGCUUGUAUACAGAUCAUUUUGAAGGAGAGUCGAAACAGGAAGUUACUAAGGUAAGUUCACUUUUUAAAUAUGAAAGAAAACUAGAGAAACAGAACUACGAGAUUACUAUUAACUUAGGGAGAUGCAAAAGGAACAACAAAUGCUCAAUAAACGCAGCAGUAUUUGCAGUGGUAAAUGCAGUCGUAGAAAGACGACAUUUGGUUGGUUUCUGA